GACGAACGCUGGCGGCGUGCUUAACACAUGCAAGUCGAACGGAAAGGCCCUGCUUUUGUGGGGUGCUCGAGUGGCGAACGGGUGAGUAACACGUGAGUAACCUGCCCUUGACUUUGGGAUAACUUCAGGAAACUGGGGCUAAUACCGGAUAGGAGCUCCUGCUGCAUGGUGGGGGUUGGAAAGUUUCGGCGGUUGGGGAUGGACUCGCGGCUUAUCAGCUUGUUGGUGGGGUAGUGGCUUACCAAGGCUUUGACGGGUAGCCGGCCUGAGAGGGUGACCGGCCACAUGGGGACUGAGAUCCGGCCCAGACUCAUCCGGGAGGCAGCAGUGGGGAAUAUGGCCCAAGGGGCGGAAGCCUGAUGCAGCACCGCCGCGUGCGGGAUGCCGGCCUUCGGGUUGUAAACCGCUUUCGCCUGUGACGAAGCGUGAGUGACGGGAAUGGGUAAAGAAGCACCGGCUAACUACGU
Molecule: ribosomal RNA, 467 nt
Filed under: uncultured bacterium
Lineage: Bacteria
Description: partial 16S ribosomal RNA
Rfam family: Bacterial small subunit ribosomal RNA
Source: RNAcentral